CCCUUAGAUGUUCUGGGCCGCACGCGCGCUACACUGAUGCAUUCAACGAGUCUAAAACCUGCUCUGAUAGGGGUGGGUAAUCUUUUGAAUGUGCAUCGUGAUUGGGAUAGAUGAUUGCAAUUUUUCAUCUUCAACGAGGAAUGCCUAGUAAACGCAAGUCAUCAGCUUGCAUUGAUUACGUCCCUGCCCUUUGUACACACCGCCCGUCGCUCCUACCGAUUGAAUGAUCCGAUGAAUAUCAUGGAUUGAGGAUUAUAGCAGGUUCGCCUGUCUUGAUCUUCGAGAAGUGAAGUAAAUCUUAUCAUUUAGAGGAAGGAGAGGUCGUAACA
This 329-nucleotide ribosomal RNA is filed under the name uncultured eukaryote. Its description in RNAcentral is "partial 18S ribosomal RNA". It matches the Rfam family "Eukaryotic small subunit ribosomal RNA", at positions 1470 to 1796 of the family's 1831-position model. The record is from RNAcentral.